GGGGAUAUAGCUCAGUGGUAGAGUGCAUGCUUAGCAAGCACAAGGUCUUGGCUUCAAUCCCCAGUACCUCCA
RNAcentral lists this transfer RNA (72 nucleotides) under Camelus bactrianus (Bactrian camel). It matches the Rfam family "tRNA". Rfam says of the family: Transfer RNA (tRNA) molecules are approximately 80 nucleotides in length. Their secondary structure includes four short double-helical elements and three loops (D, anti-codon, and T loops). Lineage: Eukaryota; Metazoa; Chordata; Mammalia; Artiodactyla; Camelidae. RNAcentral also lists the same sequence under 2 other names. The record is from Rfam by way of RNAcentral.